This 502-nucleotide ribosomal RNA is filed under the name uncultured bacterium. RNAcentral describes it as "bacterial SSU rRNA". It matches the Rfam family "Bacterial small subunit ribosomal RNA", at positions 26 to 518 of the family's 1533-position model. The record is from RNAcentral.
CUAGGAUGAACGCUAGCUACAGGCUUAACACAUGCAAGUCGAGGGGCAGCAUUGGAGUAGCAAUACUCAGAUGGCGACCGGCGCACGGGUGAGUAACACGUAUCCAACCUGCCGCUUACUCGGGGAUAGCCUUUCGAAAGAAAGAUUAAUACCCGAUGGUAUAAAGAGUUCGCAUGUUCUCUUUAUUAAAGAAUUUCGGUAAGCGAUGGGGAUGCGUUCCAUUAGAUAGUUGGCGGGGUAACGGCCCACCAAGUCUACGAUGGAUAGGGGUUCUGAGAGGAAGGUCCCCCACAUUGGAACUGAGACACGGUCCAAACUCCUACGGGAGGCAGCAGUGAGGAAUAUUGGUCAAUGGACGAGAGUCUGAACCAGCCAAAGUAGCGUGAAGGAUGACUGCCCUAUGGGUUGUAAACUUCUUUUAUAAGGGAAUAAAGUGAGGGACGUGUCCCUUUUUGUAUGUACCUUAUGAAUAAGGAUCGGCUAACUCCGUGCCAGCCGCCGC